This is a long non-coding RNA of Cyprinus carpio (common carp), 1005 nucleotides long. Lineage: Eukaryota; Metazoa; Chordata; Actinopteri; Cypriniformes; Cyprinidae. The record is from Ensembl.
CAUCAUUUGACAAGAGCUACCACCUUCUAGCCCUGAAAAACAACGGAGGCCUAGUGAUUCCAUCAAGGCACAGUAAAGGUGCUGAGAGCUGCAGAGAGGGUGAUCCGCCAAGCUUCAGCAAUACAAGCUCCUAAGGUGUCAACAGUCACACACAUUGUGUGGGAGGAGAUUGGGACAGAGGAUGUUUUCCUUCUUGGGGAGCACAUUGAGGAGACCCAGAUUGGCAUUGACAAUCAGUCUGAUUUGUUGUCAUUGGUUGUGUCCGUGUUCCUAAAGAUAAGGCUCCACCAUGUUGCCAAACUCGCCUCUCCUGAACUACAAAAAGGGAGCAUGAGAGAGAAGCUCUGCAAAACAGUCCUCUUUCAGGGGUUUUUGUGAGUGUGUGUGUGAGAGAGAGAGAGAAAAGAGUGUGUGUGUGUGUGAGAGAGUGUGUAUAUCACAAAUCAUUAUAAAUUGUUUCUUCAACUUAUUAAAAUAUCUUAUUUUACUGCAACUAUCUAUUUCUGCUUCAUCAUAUUUAUAGUGUGUGACUUAUAAAUUACCUUAUAUCCUACAUCACAUAUUUUGAUUUUGGACGUCUGGUCACUUUAUAUCUUAUAUCAGAAUAUUAUAUAACUGUUAAGCCUACUAUGAAUAUUAAAAUACGCUGAACCAUGUGUCCUGUAUUAUAGCUACAUGAAUGACCUUUGCAGGAAAAAAAACCCGCGUCAAAAUCAGUGAGGUAUUUAGUGAGAUAUGAUUAAUUAAAUGCGCUGACAGCUCAUUGCACCUGACAAACAAGUUACACUGAGUGGAGCUGGCGACCGAUCCAAGAUGGAUAUAUGUGAUGUCUAUGGCUGCAUCCGAAAACUGAAAGAUGCUGCCUUCGGAGAACGCAUUCCAAGGUAGGAAGGCAUCAAGGCACGUCCGAAUUCAAUGUUAGCUUCAGUUCCUGUCUCCUGAGAUGCCUUCAUCUUGGCGAUUUUUGAAGGCAGCAUAGAUGUAUCCUUCGCUGCCUUUGAUAUC